GUCUUUAUGUUUAGUAUAUAAAGUCUGGCCUGCCCUUUGUGUAAUUAACGGCCGCAGUAUUUUGACUGUGCUAAGGUAGCAUAAUAAAUAGAUUAUUAAUUGUGAUCUGGAAUGAAAGGUUUAACGUAAUAAUAUCUAUCUUAUAAUUAAAAAUGAAUUUAAAUUAUUAGUAAAAAUGCUAAUAUGUUAUUAAAAGACGAGAAGACCCUAUUAAGUUUUACAUUUUAGUUUUUAUUUAUAGUAUUUCUAAGAUUUAUUAAUGUUUGGUUGGGGCGACUAAUAAUAUAAAACAUUGUUUGAUUUGAUUUUUAUAAAAAUUUUGUGAACCAUAAGUUAUGGAUUAUAGAAUAAAUUACUAUAGGGAUAACAGCGUAAUUAUAUUGGAGAGUUCAUAUUGAUGAUGUAGAUUGCGACCUCGAUGUUGGAUCAGGAUUUCUUAUAGGUGCAGGUGUUUAUUAGGAAGGUCUGUUCGACCUUUAAAAUCCUACG
RNAcentral lists this ribosomal RNA (489 nucleotides) under Notiasemus glauerti. RNAcentral describes it as "partial 16S small subunit ribosomal RNA". It matches the Rfam family "Bacterial large subunit ribosomal RNA", at positions 1830 to 2600 of the family's 2925-position model. The record is from RNAcentral. Lineage: Eukaryota; Metazoa; Arthropoda; Chilopoda; Scolopendromorpha; Scolopendridae.